This is a long non-coding RNA of Syngnathus typhle (broad-nosed pipefish), 2728 nucleotides long. RefSeq lists it as uncharacterized. NCBI's taxonomy places the organism in Eukaryota, Metazoa, Chordata, Actinopteri, Syngnathiformes, Syngnathidae. The transcript is spliced from 3 exons. The record is from RefSeq and is a predicted model, not a curated record.
AUAAGGGUUGGAUAGAUUUGCGCUCCACCACAGAAUCUGAUCCAGCCCGCCGUGCAAUUCUGAAAAUAAAUAAAAUCGCAGAGGAACUAUUACGAGAAAACCUCAACCAUCCAUUUUCUACAGUAGAUCGCUUGUCCUCAUUAAGAUUGUGGGUGAGGUGGGUGACACCCUGCAUUGGUUGCCCACCAGUCGCAGGACAAAUAUAAACCAAGCAACCAUUCACACCUGAGGGCAAUUUUGAGUCGACUCUAACAUGCAUGUUUGUGCAAUGCGGGAGGAAGCCACAGUACAACCACGGGCUUCAAAAAAAAAAAAGCAUUCAAGGGACAGUGCAAGACAUUUGACCAAGCUUCUUUGACCAGCAGCUGAACCUUCAACCUGCACCUUCUGCAUCUCUCUGCACUUCAGGAUGUUUUUGUUGAGCUUAGCUCCCAUUGUUGGUGUUGGCUGGCCUCCCACGGCUGCUGCUUGCCGCUGCUGGCUGCUGGUUCCUAUCGGCCCCCCCACCCCUCGUAAUGGCUUCUUCAUGUGCCUCCUGCGUGAGGCAGACAGACAACGCAAAGCAUCAUGGGAGAGAAGAACCAGCUGAAAGUAAAUAAACAGAUCGACAGGAGUGAGCUCAGCGCUGCAAAGUGCUUCAACUGUUUUUCGACUGUUACCUAAAUGGUGGUGGGCUGUGUUUUUAGUACCUAUCCCAAAAUUGAAAUUCGAUCGGAUAAAAAAAUUCCUUGCUGGUCCUAGUGUCUCGCCACGGGAGAUGGAUGCUCUUGCAGCAGCUGCAAACAAGUGUGUGAUAAUCUUCAGUGUCAUUGUUGGGCCCCCCUUCUCAUAAAAUAUUCAUAGCAGUGACCAAAGAGGCCUCACAUGAUAAGUGUAACAUGCAAAUGAACAAUCAAUUCCUCAUUUUCUAACGGCAACUGUUCAACCUCAGUGUUGGCUUUGAUUGCGUGAUCCUUCGCGCCACUUCCUCAAAGUCCCUGACGGUUAGCAAGACAGCGCAUACGUGCGGUUUGUGAACUAGGGUGAGAGUAAAGCGGGAAGCCGCAAAGAGGAACUCAAAGAAUGUCUUUCUCAUAGCUUCAGUUCCACCAGCAGGUUAUUAGCUGACGCUGCACAAUCUAAUGAGAGCUCUAUUGAUUUAAUGACAUGUAUGUAACAUAUUGUAAAGAAUUUAUUUUUAUCGAAUUUUGAAGGGAAAAAGAAAUGCAAUCCAUUUUUAGGCCAAUGGUGAGCUUGGCAUUUGUUACCAUGACAACAGGUGGCAAAGCCUGAGCAUUAGAGGGUUAAUAGUUCACAUUCAACAACAUCAAGUGAUAAAUGAUUGCGGUAAGGUUAUAUUUAGCACAGAGCUGAUGAUGCUCACUGCAUCGCUAUGAACAUGCUGAUGGUGCACAAACAAAAACAUGUCUGUGGGCCCCCCACCCAACUACCGGCACCCCGGCCAAAGUCUGCUCGGGUGUAAGACGGGGAGUAAAAGACAUAAAGAGAGAGAGACAGGUGGUCAGGACGGUCUCUCCCUCGCCCCUACGCUCCUUUUUGAACUCCUCUUUCAUUCUCGCACUUCAUUCUGCGCUCCUCUCCACGGCGCUGGUGACAAGGCGCUCCAUUCACGGCCUCAUUCUUACACCCGCCCCGUACCCCAUCUCCCCUCCCGGUGCACCACGACCCCGUCCCCCUCCCUGGUAGCUCCAUUGUCUCGCUCGUGGGGGCCUGCUUUAGCUGCUAUUCACCAGCCAGACGGACUGCCAUUGACUGGACACCCCCCACACCCAAGACCCCCUCUGCCCCCACCCUCCUCACACACAUAUGCACACAGCAACCUGGCCCGUCCCCACCCUGCAAGCUUGCAUCAGGCAGCUGCUAUGCUAAUAGGGAGGAAGGCCCCGGCUGGAGGGAGGAUGAGGAGGGGUGGGGGGAUUCAGAGUAGCCAGCCUAUAGCAAAAGGGGGAGAUGGGGGGAGGGGGGUGACCCUGCUCCCUCCAUCUCCAUAGUCAUGCCAGAGCAGCAGCAGACCUCCUGUUACACAAAGGGAGCCCCCCACAACAUCCCCCCGCACCUUCACCCUCCCCAUGGCCUCCUCUGUUCCACCUCUUUCUCAUUCAAAUCCAUUUUAUACCCCAGUGGUAAAGGCAGCUGUAAGUGCAGUAUGUGAAGUAACCCUAUUCCUACCCCGCGGGCGCAGCCAUUCAACGUGUGCGUGUGCGACUGCAUGCGUGUGUGUGUGUGUGUGUGUGCAAGCUUUGUUUUGGUCUGUGCCCCAUACCUACACACGCACACACCUGUCCUUGAGUUCAGUUGCAUAGACAAAUAGUGCAACAAUUCACUACUCAUCAUGACCACAAAACAAAGAUAUGAACCAAACUGUGGAUUCAGGCACCCAUGCAAAUUUUGCUCCUCCACUAUAUAAAAAACUAAUAUUAUUUUUAUUAUAUUAAUGCAGUGAUAAUCAUAGGCAAACUAAUAUAACAAAGUAAAAUGUGACUGUACUGUAAAAGGUUCUUAUACUCAACUUUUGAUCAUGACAUGGUGUGUGUUGGCAUGUUGCAUUGUGUCAGUCAUGUUUGUACAUCUCUUUUAGUGGGCUUUAAAGAGGGAGGGGUAGUUAGAGCUGGCGUUGUUGGCAGGAAGGCAUCCCUCGCUCACUCUCUCCUCUUCUGUUAUUUAGCCUCUGUAGUGUGACCCUGUGCCCCAUCGGGGGAGCCAUGUUCCAUUUGACAUCUGCCUGUUU